This 244-nucleotide ribosomal RNA is filed under the name uncultured Staphylococcus sp. RNAcentral describes it as "partial 16S ribosomal RNA". It matches the Rfam family "Bacterial small subunit ribosomal RNA", at positions 96 to 334 of the family's 1533-position model. Lineage: Bacteria; Bacillati; Bacillota; Bacilli; Caryophanales; Staphylococcaceae. The record is from RNAcentral.
CGGCGGACGGGUGAGUAACACGUGGAUAACCUACCUAUAAGACUGGGAUAACUUCGGGAAACCGGAGCUAAUACCGGAUAAUAUUUUGAACCGCAUGGUUCAAAAGUGAAAGACGGUCUUGCUGUCACUUAUAGAUGGAUCCGCGCUGCAUUAGCUAGUUGGUAAGGUAACGGCUUACCAAGGUAACGAUGCAUAGCCGACCUGAGAGGGUGAUCGGCCACACUGGAACUGAGACACGGUCCAG